This 377-nucleotide unclassified non-coding RNA is filed under the name plant metagenome. Its description in RNAcentral is "partial contains 5.8S ribosomal RNA, internal transcribed spacer 2, and large subunit ribosomal RNA". The stretch from base 1 to 104 matches the Rfam family "5.8S ribosomal RNA", at positions 51 to 154 of the family's 154-position model. The record is from RNAcentral.
AAAUGCGAUAAGUAAUGUGAAUUGCAGAAUUCAUUGAAUCAUCGAAUCUUUGAACGCACCUUGCGCUCCUUGGUAUUCCUUGGAGCAUGCCUGUUUGAGUAUCAUGAAAUCUUCAAAGUAAAUCUUUUGUUAACUCAAUUGGUUUCUACUUUGGUAUUGGAGGUCUUUGCAGCUUCACACCUGCUCCUCUUUGUUCAUUAGCUGGAUCUCAGUGUUAUGCUUGGUUCCACUCGGCGUGAUAAGUUAUCUAUCGCUGAGGACACUGUAAAAGGUGGCCAAGGUAAAUGCAGAUGAACCGCUUCUAAUAGUCCAUUGACUUGGACAAUACUUUUAUGAUCUGAUCUCAAAUCAGGUAGGACUACCCGCUGAACUUAAGC